Molecule: long non-coding RNA, 598 nt
Filed under: Coffea arabica (coffee)
Lineage: Eukaryota; Viridiplantae; Streptophyta; Magnoliopsida; Gentianales; Rubiaceae
Description: long non-coding RNA (CARA_LNC000338)
Source: RNAcentral
GGCAUGGCCGAUGAUGCAUGUUUAUCAAUAUAUCGUUUAUACAUCAGUAUACAAUAAUGCCUUCUGCUUAGCUUAUAGCUGGAGUGCGGUCUAAAUAUGUGAACAAACGUUCUUGCAGCAUCAUCCCGGAGGAUGGGAGAAGGAAGGCUUAUGCAGAAGCCCUUGCAAAAGCCAGGAAAGAGGAAGAGGCUACAAGAGCAACAGAGAAAUCUCGUCUAGCUGCGGAAGCAGCAAAGAUGCGCAAAGAAGAGUUAAAGAAACUUGCAAAGCAGGAAGCUGAGGCUGCCAGUUUUGCAGAACAAGCCCAAGAGAAGGCGGCUGCUGCAGGAGUUUCAGUUGAGACCUCUUAAGUAAAGCCCAAGGCAUAAGCUCAGGACUAUCUUGGGAAAACCUGAGCUCACAGCUGAAAUCAGCUGUUCAGCAACCUGCGGAAGCAGCAAAGAUGCGCAAAGAAGAGUUAAAGAAACUUGCAAAGGCAGGAAGCUGAGGCUGCCAGUUUUGCAGAACAAGCCCAAGAGAAGGCGGCUGCUUCAGGAGUUUCAGUUGAGAGCCUCUUAAGUAAAGCCCAAGGCAUAAGCUCAGGACUAUCUUGGAAAAC